This 454-nucleotide ribosomal RNA is filed under the name uncultured bacterium. Its description in RNAcentral is "bacterial SSU rRNA". It matches the Rfam family "Bacterial small subunit ribosomal RNA", at positions 8 to 507 of the family's 1533-position model. The record is from RNAcentral.
AGAGUUUGAUCCCUGGCUACAGAACGAACGCUGGCGGCAGGCUUAACACAUGCAAGUCGAACGCCCCGCAAGGGGGAGUGGCAGACGGGUGAGUAACGCGUGGGAAUCUACCCAGUUCUACGGAACAACUGAGGGAAACUUCAGCUAAUACCGUAUACGCCCUACGGGGGAAAGAUUUAUCGGAAUUGGAUGAGCCCGCGUUGGAUUAGCUAGUUGGUGAGGUAACGGCUCACCAAGGCGACGAUCCAUAGCUGGUCUGAGAGGAUGAUCAGCCACACUGGGACUGAGACACGGCCCAGACUCCUACGGGAGGCAGCAGUGGGGAAUAUUGGACAAUGGGCGCAAGCCUGAUCCAGCCAUGCCGCGUGAGUGAUGAAGGCCUUAGGGUUGUAAAGCUCUUUCAGUGGGGACGAUAAUGACGGUACCCACAGAAGAAGCCCCGGCUAACUUCGUG